CCGUUCCUGAUACAGGCGCGUAUCAGUGCCAAAGUAUCAGGUUGAUACUUUUCGACCCACCUCUACUUCUACACUACUUUUAUAUUAACAUCCGGAUCCUGUUCGACUUGGUGUCGACUGUCGAUAUCUUCAGAAGUUUUGAGAUUCUGCAUCUGCUAUCGUCCUUCUAUCUGUCGGCGUAAUUCAUAUGAAUAACAAGAAUAAAGUAACUAUUGAAAUAUGAAACAUCUACAUUUUUGGAGCACCUCCUGUUAGUGUAAUAAAAGUCAGAAAAAUCUGAUUUUCUGAGUUAACUCUUCGCAGUCAUGAUGUUACUGGUGCGUUACUGGAGAUAAUUAUGUAAUAAUUCUCAUGCUGUAUCGUAGGUAGGUAUUUGUUUAUUUACACUAUUUUUGAGGUAGGAAAGGCUAUUUAUGUGUUCAGGGGAACUAUAUGACUUUACGAAAGUUGGCUAAUGAUAACAAAUAUAAUGGCGGAACAAAAGAAAAUAGUAAUAUUGGCAACAGCGAAAUCCAAGAUAGCACCAUGAGAGAAAAUGAAGAAUGGAAGCGAUGGCUGUUGUGCUACGAGGCGUGAAUUAAUAAACUGGAAUAACAUAUAUUUCGUGAGGGGACGAACUGGCCGGAGGCGAGGACUCCCGGGGACCCGCCUCGUCCUCCUCCCGGUGGACGGGCAGGGGCGCCACCGCGCCAGCGCCGGGCGACACCUGGUUGAGCGCGUACCCCGCCGGGAACACCAGCGCCUGCUCCAUCUGCACGCACCACACGCACCACACACCACGCUGCCUCACGCGGGUCUCUAGUACUCAACAGCUUCGGCAUCACAGGAAAUACAUUGAGGAAGUUACCAAGGACUAUCUUCAUUAUUUGUCUCUAUAGAAGCAUUAAGGUAUUGCUUGUAUUUGCCACCUGAUUAAAUGCUACAGAAGUGUUUGUUUAGCACUUCAGGGAACAUUUGUGACUAUAAAAACCUAAUUAUUUAUAUCCUUACGUAAAUCUAAAUGUUUUUGUUAUUAAUCAUUAUAAAUUUUUUUUUCUUGAAAACUUAAA
This is a long non-coding RNA of Bacillus rossius redtenbacheri, 1049 nucleotides long. RefSeq lists it as uncharacterized. NCBI's taxonomy places the organism in Eukaryota, Metazoa, Arthropoda, Insecta, Phasmatodea, Bacillidae. The transcript is spliced from 2 exons. The record is from RefSeq and is a predicted model, not a curated record.